CAGCACAAUAGGCCAUUCUGGACCCGCCGCGCUGCUCCAGAGUGGACACGGCGGUUCUGCAGCAGCUUCUACUUCUUCCUCUACAGUCUUCUUAUCUUUUCCUCUUUUCUCUCCUUCCCUUUAUCUUCUCGUUCCUUUCCUCCUUUCUUGUUUCCGUGGUCCUCUUUAUAGUUCCUAGUAUCUUCUUGCUUUCCAUCUUCUCUGUGCUUUGGCCGUUUUCCUCUCUGUACUUUUCAAAGUUGUCAUAUUCUGUGUUUUUACUGCUAACAUCGUCAUCUGGGUAGGAAAAAACAAUCUUAAACCAAAUUCCAGAACUGAGAAAUCAGUAGGGUGCAGGAACAGAAAGACCCUUGGCCUCUGUCAGAGACUUUAAUUCCAGAUUUUUUAAGGUCUCAGCACUGUGGAUCUCAUUUAUUCACAGUCACUUUUACAGCCACGUUUUGCUUCUGACUGCAUUCUGGGCACUAGAGCUGCUCUCAGUGUUAUUAAAAGCAGGUUUUUAAGUGGAUGGUACAGAAGAGUGAAAUAAGGCUCCUUCACUGUUACUGAGGCUUUGCUGACAUUGCUUACUUUGAUUUAUACCAGCUCAAGAUUAAACCUUCACUACCAAAAAAAAAAAUGAAGCCACCAAUUACAACUACACUAUGGCUUUACAUAUAAAUUAAUUCCUGUUACUCUGUGCUAGGACAGAGGAUGCAAUAUGGGCCAGAAAUUUAGAUGCUUGCUACCUGAGACUGGGGUGCUAUGUUCCCAUGCCCUGGGCUGUGCUCCAGAAGAGGAAAGCAAAUAAUUUUUAUCUUUAUGGGGUGCAGAGAGCUAAAUGAUGACUACCUUUUAGAGAGCUAACUGUCAGUUCAUCUUUUCUUUCCUUCAGCUCUUUGAUGAAGCUUUUGUUCACAUCAUUUAAGGCCUCAGGAGGCCUGAGCCCUGGACAUCCAUGAGGUAUCACUGAAUAGUUUCUAUUUCGAUUACAGAGAAUUGAUUUACCUGCUGUGUAUAAAACGAAGCUUACCAGGCAUGAGUUGCUAAAAAAGAAAAAGGGGGAAUUGUGGAGGAAUUUCGUCUGAAAGAGGCCAUGGCUUGGUAACAGUGAACAACCCAUGCUUUGAGAACUAAUGUGCGGAUUGUCCUUGAGCUGCUCUCGACUGUGAGAAAAGAAGAAAGAAUGCCUACAUGAUAACAAGCUCCAGCAAGGAGGAGGCUGAAGCAGUAUGUGAAUCCGCAAGGCUUAUCGCAGAAAGCGCAACUGGCUUUUAGAGAAAGGACCAAUUAGAAGUAGUAUAAGCAUGCUAACUUUGCUGCUGAUUAUAAAACUGAUGCUUGUUAGUAAAAUUGGAGUUGUGACCAAAAAAAAAAAAAUCCCAAACCAAACUGUUUUGCUGUGAGAGUGAUGAAGCAGUGGAACAGGAUGCCCGGAGAGCGGUUGUGAAACCUGUUGCCUUGGAGGUCAUCAGGACCUGCCUGAUGACCAAUGGGAGCAGAUAUGAAUGGAUUCCUCUAGAAACAAAGCUUGUGAAGGAGCUGCAUGGGACUGUAAAGACACACGCUUUACAGAUACCUCAUCAAAGACCAACACAGUGGCACUGGUGUGGAAACAGGGAGACAGAUGGGAGCUACCCCCAUGGGCCGAGCCACAGCACGCUACGUGAUUAGGCACUGGCUACAAUGUAUAGCCAUCCUAGGAUGUCCUGCACAAAUCAAAACUGACAAUGGGACUUGUUACACCUCCCAUGUGACACAGGAAUUCUGUCAAACCUGGCAGAUCAAAUUGCUGCACGGUAUCCUUCACAAUAACCAGGGACAGGCGAUCGUUGAACGCACUCACCCUACUCUAAAAGUACAACUCAACCGUCUUAGGGAGGGGGAGAGCAUGGGAAGCUCAGAUGCUUGGGGCAAGGGUGUGCUUGUGUAGAAAAGGAGGGAACCCAGCAGUGGGUCCCGGCAAAACAAAUACGACCAGAGAUAUGAGUCUAACGGUCUACUGAGUCUCUUUUGCAGAUUGAUGUGUUCUUCAGAGAGCCCGCUGUGAAGCAGAUCCAGCUGGGGUCACUCAACUAUUAGCGAGAUUGGGCAGUGAAGUGGAACACGACCAGUACCUGUUUAUAUCUUCCGGCAAUUGGCUCAGCUAGCACGUGUGCUGGGCAGACACAUUAUGUAUCAGCCCGUGCCACAGGAUGCUGGAGUCAUUGAGGUUAGGGAGGGGGAGAUGUAGUAGGUGUCCAGAAGAUCUCAGGUUGUAACGUGAGAGGUGGAGGGUACAGAAGAGGUGGGCACAGGGUGGAGUGGGAGGAGGUGCUGGUGUUAGCAGAUAAAGGCAC
Colius striatus (speckled mousebird) is the source of this 2318-nucleotide long non-coding RNA. RefSeq lists it as uncharacterized. The record is from RefSeq and is a predicted model, not a curated record. The transcript is spliced from 5 exons. NCBI's taxonomy places the organism in Eukaryota, Metazoa, Chordata, Aves, Coliiformes, Coliidae.